This 74-nucleotide transfer RNA is filed under the name Candidatus Aalborgicola bjergmarkensis. RNAcentral's name for it is "tRNA-Cys". It matches the Rfam family "tRNA". Rfam says of the family: Transfer RNA (tRNA) molecules are approximately 80 nucleotides in length. Their secondary structure includes four short double-helical elements and three loops (D, anti-codon, and T loops). Further hydrogen bonds mediate the characteristic L-shaped molecular structure. tRNAs have two regions of fundamental functional importance: the anti-codon, which is responsible for specific mRNA codon recognition, and the 3' end, to which the tRNAs corresponding amino acid is attached (by aminoacyl-tRNA synthetases). tRNAs cope with the degeneracy of the genetic code in two manners: having more than one tRNA (with a specific anti-codon) for a particular amino acid; and 'wobble' base-pairing, i.e. permitting non-standard base-pairing at the 3rd anti-codon position. Lineage: Bacteria; Pseudomonadati; Pseudomonadota; Betaproteobacteria; Burkholderiales; Comamonadaceae. The record is from RNAcentral.
GGCGCGGUAGCAAAGCGGUUAUGCCCCGGAUUGCAAAUCCGGUUAGAUCAGUUCGACUCUGAUCCGCGCCUCCA